This 499-nucleotide ribosomal RNA is filed under the name uncultured bacterium. RNAcentral's name for it is "partial 16S ribosomal RNA". It matches the Rfam family "Bacterial small subunit ribosomal RNA", at positions 28 to 507 of the family's 1533-position model. The record is from RNAcentral.
GACGAACGCUGGCGGCGUGCUUAACACAUGCAAGUCGAACGGGUCUGCCCUGUUUUUUGCGGGGUGGGUCAGUGGCGAACGGGUGAGUAACACGUGAGUAACCUGCCCCUCACUUCUGGAUAACCGCUUGAAAGGGUGGCUAAUACGGGGUGUUCUGGCUGUGCCGCAUGGUGUGGCUGGGAAAGAUUCACUUUUGUGGUGUUUUGGUGGGGAUGGGCUCGCGGCCUAUCAGCUUGUUGGUGGGGUGACGGCCUGCCAAGGCUUUGACGGGUAGCCGGCCUGAGAGGGUGGGCGGUCACACUGGGACUGAGAUACGGCCCAGACUCCUGCGGGAGGCAGCAGUGGGGGGUAUUGCACAAUGGGCGGAAGCCUGAUGCAGCGACGUCGCGUGAGGGAUGGAGGCCUUCGGGUUGUGAACCUCUUUCGCCGGUGAAGAAGGUCCUGCUCUUUGUGGUGGGGUUGACGGUAGCCGGGUUAUGAAGCGCCGGCUAACUACGUG